GUGACAAUAGCUUAAAAUAGAGCAGUGGUCUUGUAAAUCACAGGUGAAUAAUAUUUAUUCUUGUUACU
This 68-nucleotide transfer RNA is filed under the name Clavatula tripartita. RNAcentral describes it as "tRNA-Thr". It matches the Rfam family "tRNA". Rfam says of the family: Transfer RNA (tRNA) molecules are approximately 80 nucleotides in length. Their secondary structure includes four short double-helical elements and three loops (D, anti-codon, and T loops). Lineage: Eukaryota; Metazoa; Mollusca; Gastropoda; Neogastropoda; Clavatulidae. The record is from RNAcentral.